CAAGUCGAGCGGAUGACGGGAGCUUGCUCCUUGAUUCAGCGGCGGACGGGUGAGUAAUGCCUAGGAAUCUGCCUGGUAGUGGGGGACAACGUUUCGAAAGGAACGCUAAUACCGCAUACGUCCUACGGGAGAAAGCAGGGGACCUUCGGGCCUUGCGCUAUCAGAUGAGCCUAGGUCGGAUUAGCUUGUUGGUGAGGUAAUGGCUCACCAAGGCGACGAUCCGUAACUGGUCUGAGAGGAUGAUCAGUCACACUGGAACUGAGACACGGUCCAGACUCCUACGGGAGGCAGCAGUGGGGAAUAUUGGACAAUGGGCGAAAGCCUGAUCCAGCCAUGCCGCGUGUGUGAAGAAGGUCUUCGGAUUGUAAAGCACUUUAAGUUGGGAGGAAGGGCAGUAAGCUAAUACCUUGCUGUUUUGACGUUACCGACAGAAUAAGCACCGGCUAACUCUGUGCCAGCAGCCGCGGUAAUACAGAGGGUGCAAGCGUUAAUCGGAAUUACUGGGCGUAAAGCGCGCGUAGGUGGUUUGUUAAGUUGGAUGUGAAAGCCCCGGGCUCAACCUGGGAACUGCAUCCAAAACUGGCAAGCUAGAGUACGGUAGAGGGUGGUGGAAUUUCCUGUGUAGCGGUGAAAUGCGUAGAUAUAGGAAGGAACACCAGGGGCGAAGGCGACCACCUGGACUGAUACUGACACUGAGGUGCGAAAGCGUGGGGAGCA
Molecule: ribosomal RNA, 717 nt
Filed under: Pseudomonas hunanensis
Lineage: Bacteria; Pseudomonadati; Pseudomonadota; Gammaproteobacteria; Pseudomonadales; Pseudomonadaceae
Description: bacterial SSU rRNA
Rfam family: Bacterial small subunit ribosomal RNA
Source: RNAcentral